Molecule: long non-coding RNA, 228 nt
Filed under: Malus domestica (apple)
Lineage: Eukaryota; Viridiplantae; Streptophyta; Magnoliopsida; Rosales; Rosaceae
Description: long non-coding RNA (MDOM_LNC012766)
Source: RNAcentral
GCAGCUUCUUUGGAAGUACAGCAGCAGUGGGAAACGAGUACUUGAGAGCAGUGCUAGGUAGGCAAUCAGGGAAGGGUUCCAAGCAGUCGGUUCCUUACCCGAGUUUGAGUGGAGGUUCCGACAUAUUGCUUUCUUUAUCCUUGUCUUUGCAGGUAAGAACAAGGACAAAGGAAAGGACAGGGAGAGUGCAUGAUAUGAGAUACUCUUGCUUUCUACCCUGGUGAUAUG